AAAACGCUGGCGGCGUGCUUUGACAUGCAUGUCGAACGGCAACGGGGGCUUCGGCCUGCCGGCGAGUGGCGAACGGGUGAGUAAUGCCUCGGAACGUCCCCUGUCGUGGGGGAUAACUUCGCGAAAGCGUCGCUAAUCCCGCAUACGCCCUGGGGGGGAAAGGGGGGGAUCUUGGGACCUCCCGUUUUUGGAGGGGCCUAUGUCGGAUUAGCUAGUUGGUGGGGUAAAGGCCCACCAAGGCGACGAUCCGUAGCUGGUCUGAGAGGAUGAUCCCCCACACUGGGACUGACACCCGGCCCAAACUCCUACGGGAGGCAGCAGUGGGGAAUUUUGGACAAUGGGGGAAACCCUGAUCCAGCCAUGCCGCGUGAGUGAAUAAGGCCUUCGGGUUGUAAAGCUCUUUCAGAGAGAAAGACAACGCCCCUCCUAAUACCCGGCGUGGAUGACGCUACCGUCAGAAGAAGCACCGGCUAUCUACGUGCCAGCAUCCGCGGUAAUACGUAGGGUGCGAGCGUUAAUCGGAAUUACUGGUCGUAAAGCGUGCGCAGGCGGUUGUGUAAGACAGGUGUGAAAUCCCCGGGGCUUAACCUGGGAACUGCUCUUGUGACUGCAGGGCUAUAGUACGGCAGAGGGGGGGUGGAAUUCCACGUGUAGCAGUGAAAUGCGUACAUAUGAUGAGAAGACCACCGGUGGCGAAGACAGCCCUCUGGGACGAUACUGACCUGAUGUACAAAGCGUGGGGGAGCAAACAGGAUAGAUACCCUGGUAGUCACCCCCUCACGAUGUCACUACUCGUCGGGGAUACGUGACUCUUGAUGACCCCACUCACCCGGUGAGUCAACCCCUGGGGAGACCGCCCGAAGUUAAUUCCAUGAAUGACGGGCCCCCCACAUGGGUGACAUGGGAUAUCGAGCUGUAAUCUCCACUGACCGCUCCACCUGAGACGGUGCUAAGAUCGGACAGGUCUGGGGUUCCCCUGUUGCAUUGUGUUAUCAAGAACCUUACCUUGCAGU
Molecule: ribosomal RNA, 1013 nt
Filed under: uncultured bacterium
Lineage: Bacteria
Description: bacterial SSU rRNA
Rfam family: Bacterial small subunit ribosomal RNA (bases 1-842)
Source: RNAcentral